This is a long non-coding RNA of Hipposideros armiger (great roundleaf bat), 207 nucleotides long. RefSeq lists it as uncharacterized. The transcript is spliced from 3 exons. NCBI's taxonomy places the organism in Eukaryota, Metazoa, Chordata, Mammalia, Chiroptera, Hipposideridae. The record is from RefSeq and is a predicted model, not a curated record.
CUAGAUUCUGGUCCUAUUUUUGCCUGGUACUUGCCGAGUGUGACUUUGGGUUGUGAUGGAAUUAAGUGGAAAUGUUUAUAUACAAUGCCUGCAACCACGCUGGCCCACACAUAGAACGUGGCAUCAGAAUGCUGGGAGCUACUUUCAGUCACUGUGGGAGGGAAUUCCCUGGCUCUGGGGAAGCUCUUUCUGCAGAAGCGAGCAGGU